Molecule: non-coding RNA, 125 nt
Filed under: Heterosigma akashiwo
Lineage: Eukaryota; Raphidophyceae; Chattonellales; Chattonellaceae
Source: RNAcentral
AUACCCAAAAUCAAAAUCGGAAGUGACAGACACACUUCAAAGUGCUGCCAAGAUCAACCAAAAGAAAUACGACGCAGUGUAAUAUAUAUAUUUUAUAUUUUUCAUGUUUUUUUUUUUUUAAUAUU